AGAGAGAAUUACCAAUUGUAAUAUUUUAUUUGUUAGAAGAAGAAUUGAUUGAAUUUGGAAGGCAUUGUAGCUUUCUUGAAUGUUUUUAGCAGAUCAAAAGACAGUUAAUUAUGUGACCUUAAUGUGUAAACUCAUGUGGAUAGUCUUUCUCCAUGUUCAAACUCCCCUUUAUAGGUUUAUUCUGAGAAGGUAUUUGAAGAAUAAAUAAAAUGACAAUUACAAGAAGUAUCAAAGUUUUAUAUGUCUUUAAAAUUAGAAUAAUGAUCUCAAGUCUAGAAAGCACAUAAACCAAAUAUAAUAUUUUAAAAAUUAAACUAAUAACUUUAAUAUCCCAUAUAAAUUUGAUUAUAAGUAUAAAUACCAUUUAAAAAUCUCUUAUGUAGUAAAUCUAUCAACAAUAUUUUUUAAUUUUAAUAACUAAAAUA
RNAcentral lists this long non-coding RNA (425 nucleotides) under Physcomitrium patens. RNAcentral describes it as "long non-coding RNA (PPAT_LNC007378)". The record is from RNAcentral. Lineage: Eukaryota; Viridiplantae; Streptophyta; Bryopsida; Funariales; Funariaceae.